AUUGAACGCUGGCGGAAUGCUUUACACAUGCAAGUCGAGCGGCAGCGCGGGGGCAACCCUGGCGGCGAGCGGCGAACGGGUGAGUAACAUAUCGGAACGUACCCUGUCGUGGGGGAUAACUAUCCGAAAGGAUAGCUAAUACCGCAUACGACCUGAGGGUGAAAGCGGGGGACCGCAAGGCCUCGCGCGAUAGGAGCGGCCGAUAUCGGAUUAGCUAGUUGGUGAGGUAAAGGCUCACCAAGGCGACGAUCCGUAGCGGGUCUGAGAGGACGACCCGCCACACUGGAACUGAGACACGGUCCAGACUCCUACGGGAGGCAGCAGUGGGGAAUUUUGGACAAUGGGCGCAAGCCUGAUCCAGCAAUGCCGCGUGGAUGAAGAAGGUCUUCGGAUUGUAAAGUCCUUUCGACGGGGACGAUGAUGACGGUACCCGUAGAAGAAGCCCCGGCUAACUUCGUG
Molecule: ribosomal RNA, 459 nt
Filed under: uncultured bacterium
Lineage: Bacteria
Description: bacterial SSU rRNA
Rfam family: Bacterial small subunit ribosomal RNA
Source: RNAcentral